Molecule: ribosomal RNA, 508 nt
Filed under: Paenibacillaceae bacterium CL7.2
Lineage: Bacteria; Bacillati; Bacillota; Bacilli; Caryophanales; Paenibacillaceae
Description: bacterial SSU rRNA
Rfam family: Bacterial small subunit ribosomal RNA
Source: RNAcentral
CCCUGGCUCAGGACGAACGCUGGCGGCAUGCCUAAUACAUGCAAGUCGAGCGGAGUAAGAAUGGAAGCUUGCUUCCAUUCUUACUUAGCGGCGGACGGGUGAGUAACACGUAGGCAACCUGCCCUCAAGACUGGGAUAACUACCGGAAACGGUAGCUAAUACCGGAUAAUUUCUUUCCUCUCCUGAAGAGAGAAUGAAAGGCGGAGCAAUCUGCCACUUGGGGAUGGGCCUGCGGCGCAUUAGCUAGUUGGUGGGGUAACGGCUCACCAAGGCGACGAUGCGUAGCCGACCUGAGAGGGUGAACGGCCACACUGGGACUGAGACACGGCCCAGACUCCUACGGGAGGCAGCAGUAGGGAAUCUUCCGCAAUGGGCGAAAGCCUGACGGAGCAAUGCCGCGUGAGUGAUGAAGGUUUUCGGAUCGUAAAGCUCUGUUGCCAGGGAAGAACGUCCGGUAGAGUAACUGCUACCGGAGUGACGGUACCUGAGAAGAAAGCCCCGGCAACUA